Molecule: ribosomal RNA, 425 nt
Filed under: uncultured bacterium
Lineage: Bacteria
Description: bacterial SSU rRNA
Rfam family: Bacterial small subunit ribosomal RNA
Source: RNAcentral
GAAUAUUGCGCAAUGGGGGAAACCCUGACGCAGCAACGCCGCGUGGAGGAUGAAGGCCUUCGGGUCGUAAACUCCUGUCAGGUGGGAAGAAUAGGCUGCAGCAAACAACUGCAGCUGUUGACGGUACCACCAGAGGAAGCCCCGGCUAACUCCGUGCCAGCAGCCGCGGUAAUACGGAGGGGGCAAGCGUUAUUCGGAAUCAUUGGGCGUAAAGGGCGCGUAGGCGGCUUGGCAAGUCAAAGGUGAAAUCCCUCGGCCUAACCGAGGAACUGCCUUUGAAACUGCUUGGCUCGAGGCCGGGAGAGGGUAGCGGAAUUCCCAGUGUAGCGGUGAAAUGCGUAGAUAUUGGGAGGAACACCAGUGGCGAAGGCGGCUACCUGGACCGGUUCUGACGCUGAGGCGCGAAAGCGUGGGGAGCAAACAGG